This 21972-nucleotide long non-coding RNA is filed under the name Setaria viridis. Its description in RNAcentral is "long non-coding RNA (SVIR_LNC008632)". Lineage: Eukaryota; Viridiplantae; Streptophyta; Magnoliopsida; Poales; Poaceae. The record is from RNAcentral.
GGCUCAUCAGCUGCGGCCCAAGCAGUAGUCGUUCUGUAUACUUCUGUGCCUUUUUCGGGUGUCAUGUGCAUUGUAAUGUGAUCCAUCAGUACAACGACAGAGUCCAUGCUGGCUGCUUCGUCACGAAAAAAACGAACAGAUACAUCCAGAACUGUACAGAUCUAUGGAAAAGAAAACUACUGGGAGCAGACGGCUGGGAUGAUUGAUAUGCCACUAGCUCCAGAAAUGAGCCACUAGCUCCAGAAACUACUGGGAGCAUACGGCUGGGAGGAAGAGCACGAUGUGAGCAUCCGGCGCCGGCGUGUUCGCCGCAAGCGCGCGGCGGACAGCGCUUCCAAGCUGCGCCGCAGUCGUCGUCUGGCGGCCAAGGAGAUCCCGUUCUACAUCGACGCCACCACCAAGGCGACUCGCGUCAAGGAAGCUCAGCUGGACCUGGCCAAAGCGUCCGAGCGCAUGAAGGCAGCAAUUGAAGCGUCCGGGGUGCUGGAGCGCCCCCCACCAGAGAAGAUCUCCUCGUCCAAGCUGCGCUGCCUGGAGCGCGUCUGUGGCCUUGCUCACCUCUCUGAGGUCGAGGAUGAGGUGUCGUACCCCGUCUGAUGUUAGCCUUUAGCUUGUGGUAUGUGUUUGCUUUGCGAGCUAGCCUGUUUCUCGCAAGAGCUAGCUUCUCUCCCUCUGUCUGUUCGGGAGAUGUAUCUCUCUAAGUUAGUUUGUGUGAGUGCUUUGCGAAGGGAGUUCCUCGCAAAAGCUUUUCUCCCUGCAUGUUUUAGGGAGCUUCGUGAGUCGUUGUGGUUUGUGCCCCGGUUUAGAGGUGGCCGGUGUAAUUUGUACACACUCAUGUGCGUGUUGUCUUCAAUGUUAAGUUUGUUUCGUGAUUUGGUGUUCUGCUUGUUCUCAUGUUAACUCGCUCACUUUCUUUCUGAUCAACUUCGUGCUUACGAUUUUGAUGGCUUAAGAUUUUGAUGGCUUGAGAUUUUGAUGGCUUGGGAUGCAACUUCGUGCUUGCUGCUCAGCUCCUCUGAUCGAGCUUACUCUCUUACAGCUAAUUUCUCCCUCAACUCUGACGGCAGCCUUUUCACGCUUACGAAUGUUUAUGCCCCCACGGCUCAUGAAGAUAAAGAUGCUUUUCUUAAGGAACUCGAGGAUGUUGCUCAAUCAGUCUCCGGCCCUUGGAUCAUAAUUGGUGAUUUCAACCUCACACGUGAGCCUGCUGAUAAAAAUAGUGACUCGUUUAACUCAGGAGAAGCGCAAUUGUUCAAUGAUACAAUUAACUGCCUAGCUCUAAUUGAGAUUCCGCUGGUUGACAGAGCCUACACUUAGUGCGACUAGAUAGGUGUUUCGUUAACAUCCAGUGGGAGUCCACUUUUCCAAACACGGCCCUAUCCUCCUUGACACGUUUUGCCUCUGAUCAUGUCCCUCUCCUCCUUUCGGUUUGUACCAGCAUUCCAAAGAGCUCGUUGUUUCCGGUUUGAAAAUGCCUGGUUACAACACCCAGCCUUCAAGGAAAUGAUGAGAUCGACAAUUGACACUCCGGUCAGAGGAUCGACCAGCAAGGCUUUUGUCAAACGCUUGAAGAAUUGCAGACACGCUUACCGCUCCUGGUCCAAGCGCCUUCACCCUAGAGAGCAACGUGAAAACGACACCAAUAUUCUCAUCAAAGCCCUUGACCUACUAGAAGAGGAACGCGCUCUCUCCUCUGCUGAAUCUACUCUUCGUCGCUGAGCCAUCCAGGGCCUCCAAUCCAUUCACUCCAAAAAAGCUAGCCUUUUGGCGCUAGCGUUUCAACAUGAGGAUGGCCGUGGAGUGGGAUGAAAAUUCUCGGUUCUUUCAUGCAGCCGCUAAUGGGCGCCGUCGGAAGAACGCUAUCCCCUGCUUGGAACACGAUGGCAACAUCCUGCAAUCUCAUGAAGCUAAGAGUACAGUGCUUUUCGACUUCUACGAUGAACUGUUGGGGUCUGAAUUCCCAACGUCUUGGAACUUCGACCUACAGGAGCUCUACCCACACUUGUCUGUAGAUGGGCUCAAUCUCUCCGUUUCUUUCUCAACUGAAGAGAUCUUGUAGGCCUUGUUUGCCAUGGAUAUGCACUCUAGUCCUGGGCUGGACGGCUUUGGCCCAUAUUCAAACAAAGCUUUCUGGGCCAACCUCAGGCAGCCAUUAGUGGAUCUUUUCUCUGGAGUCCACUCGAGCCUUGCUGACCUCGACGGUCUCAACAGUGCUCAUCUUGUUCUUCUUCCUAAGCAUGAAGGUGUCAGGAAAGCUGAUGGAUUCAGGCCUAUUCUGCUGCAGAACUGCCCAAUGAAAUUAUUUUCCAAGGUUCUGGCGAAUCGGCUCAGAGCAGCCAUCCCAUCUAUCAUUGACGCAGAUCUGACUGGCUUUGUGCAUGGCCGGAACAUAGCAGAAAAUUUCAUCUAUGCUGCUGAUCUUUUGAGCUGCUGCCACAAAAGGAAUGUCCCCACUGCAGUGCUCAAGCUGGACUUUAAGAAGGCGUUCGACUCGGUCGCCAGGGGUUUUGACAUUCGCUGGCGUAGUUGGAUCAGCGAAAUUCUAUCGACAGGCAAAACGGCAGUGAUGCUCAACGGUGUUCCCGGACGCUGGAUUAACUGUAAACGGGGGCUGCGCCAAGAAGAUCCCAUCUCUCCUUACCUGUUUAUCAUUGUCGCUGAUGUCCUCCAACAUCUCGUCCAAAGAGCGUCGAGGUCUGGCAUUUUGGAGCAUCCUAUCGAUAAUGCACUCCCUUGUCCAGUGCUCCAAUACGCUGAUGAUACUCUGAUUCUUGUUCGAGGGAAUGUGCCGUCCAUGAUUUCCCUUAAAUCCAUCCUGGACUCCUUUUCUAUGGCGACGGGCCUCACUAUCAAUUUCCACAAAUCCGCCUUCGUUCCCAUGAACGUCCAUGCCGAGACAGCUGGUCAGAUGGCUAGUAUUCUAGGCUGUCAGAUUGCCAGCUUCCCCCAAACCUACUUGGGGCUUCCACUCUCGCUGCACAAACUUAGACCCUGUGACUACCGGCCCCUUGUGUGCAGCUUUGAUCGCUACCUUGCUGGAUGGAAGGCUCGUCUUCUCAGCACUGGAGGGCGCUUGAUCUUGGUUAAUGCGGUCCUAAGCAGUCUGCCUGUCUAUUUCAUGUCCUCCACUUUGCUGCCAAAAACGAUCAUUGAAGCUUUGGAUGUGUGCCGGAGAGCUUUCCUCUGGACUGGGGGAGAAAAGCGCCAUGGUUCACAAUGUCUUGUGGCCUGGGAGAAGGUGUGUCAAAGCAAAGAGAACGGUGGUCUCGGGGUUCGGAACAUUGAGCAACAAAACCACUACCUCCUGAUGAAAUUUGUUCACAAGCUUCAUGAUCCACAAUCUUGGCCUUGGAAAACUUGGUUCCUAAGUCAAGAUCUGGGAGGAUUCACUACUGACUCCUUCAUUGCAUGACUGAUCCAAGGGGAAAUUCAGCGUUACCGCUCACUGACCUCCUCCCGCAUGGGUAACGACAAAACUACCGCCUUUUGGCACGAUCACUGGCUCCUCGGAUCGACUUUGGAAGAAACUUUCCCGGCGCUCUACUCGCACUCUAUCCGGCAGAACAUCUCCGUCUCAGACGCCAUGCUUUCUCCGUUGGACGAACAGCUACGACCACGUCUCACCAACUGCGCUCAAGAGGGUAAACGGAUGCUCCAAGACUGCCUGCUUCAAGUAGCCCUCUCUGACCAUCCGGACAUACACUCUCUGAUCAACUCCCUCUAGUGUGGAGCCACCAUGCUAUAUCCAUCCUUGACAAAAGUACCGAGGACACAUAUAGGUGGCGUCCUGGUACCAUUCAGUAAUAGUUCCAUUAACAAAGCUAUUACUUCCUCGAUCAUGAAGCCUCACGACAAAUAUAAUCUCUUAUAUGGCUAGAUGAUUACUAGGUUUCAGAGUAAGGAUGACAUUUGAAAUUAUGUUCUUUAGUAUGGAGGUGUUUGUAUUACACUCAACAUCUUAUACUUUGCAGGUAGGUUAUGACGGAUUCCUAUAGGGGGACUCAUGCCCCCCUCCCUCACGUUGUCAGACAUGCAAUCCUAGCAACCUAGUUCCUUCUUUUGGUCCGCAUAAGCAUUCCAAGAUUUUCCUUUUGUUUUUAAUUCAUCCGUACCUUUUCUAAUUUUAUUUAUCAUAGCGACGAAUACAGCACUGCAAGUGAUUAAUUAGUGGAUAUAAACUAUACUAUGAGAAAUUAUGUUGUUGAGAGAAUUGUUAUUUACAUAUGAUUGAAAUUUUUAGCUAUGUCGGUUCAUGCACAACUGUUGUUGGUUGGAGAUCAGAUGCACCUUGGCUACAAUUGUUCAUCGUCCUCAACCACCACCAGAUACAGAACUCUGUUGUCCUUCCUUCUAGAUAGGUGGAGACUGGAUACUGGGAGAAGACACGACGUUUGGGACGGCGACGGACCGGCCAGCAGGACACCACAACACAAGUGACCCAGCUAAAUGGGCUUGGGCUGUUCGUGUGAGUGCGAGAAUUACCUGGCCCUUUGAUCAGUCUUGAGUUUCUUCUGAUUGAUGGAGAUGGAGGGCAGGGCCUGAGUGAUGAACAACACCCAUAUACCUUGAGAGACUGCAUGUCUAUUCGCAUUUAUAUUACUGCCAAAUGAUCAUUCACUACCUGAAAUGAUAUAUUCUCUUGGAGGGUGACAGGAAAAAAAAUCUAUCUGUUCCUACCGCCAGGGAUACUCAAUUCUCUUAUAGAAUAACACCUACAGGAAUAUUAUAUAUAUCUUUGACGGGAAACCGACAGCGAACUUAGAAAUUUCCUUGACGGAGAAUCCUACAGGGUAAUGGUGUGUUUGGUUUGACCUCAUCCUAGAUGAGAUUGUCCAUCAUGAGUUGAUCCUAUAAGAUUUAUUGGGAUGAUCCUAUUCUUUAUGGUUAUACUAUUUAUUAGUUUGUGUGGGAUGAGGUGUUGAGGGAUCAACUAAUUACAUUCCACGAACCAAACAAAAAAAUUGAGAAGUGAGAAGAUGAGGCAUGACUUCAUUCCUCAAACCGAACACCCCAUAAAUUAUCCUGACAGUUUUUCGAUGGAUUUCUAAAAUGAUGGAUACAAAUUUUCCUAUGCAUAAACCGUCAGAAAAAUACCGACAGAAAAAUUAUUUCUGUCGGGAAACCGACAAGCAAUAUAAUUUAAAUUUCUCUGCCAUUCUAUCCCUGUCGGUAUUUGCCAUUUCGACGUAAAUAUUUUUCUGACUUUUUCCAUAUAUUCCUGUCGGUUUUUGUGGCACAUAGGAAAAUUUACGUCAGUGACCGCACGACAAGCAAGCUGGCAAUAGAUAAGAUGCGUACAGCACAGCUCGAUGGACAAUGCGUGUUUAACAGUAAUAAGGACAGGCUUGCUGUACAUGCACGAUUAUCAGCGGGAAACAGCAGAACGCUACUCGUUUCUUGUUUGCCACUAUAUACCAUUGUCGGACUGCGCAGUGCAGUGCAGUCCGUCGCCUGCUUCUGUCCUGCACGCAGGACGACGUAACGUAGGAUCGACGGGUGUGAUGGAUCGAUCCGUCAUGUUUCCCGCUGCCGCGACUCGUUAACGCAGCGACGGCAGACAGACCGACCGACCGACCGGCGUCGAUUAUCAUUGCCGGCCAUGUCAAUAAUGUCAUUUCCGGCAAGCAAGCAAGCAAGCAUGUCGAUCUGCUUCAUUCGCUGCUGCCGGUAGCCACAGUCAAGAUUCUGCAUGCUUUUUUCGAUCUAUAUUCGAUCAUAUCAUCCCCUUUGUCCAUUUUACUCAUAUGAGAUGAUGCUCCUGUAUGGAGUAUCGUCUAGUGCUCUCCCCAAUUCGUUUAUCAUCUGCUGGUUGGAUACGCAUGCACGAAUAUAAUGCAUGAUCACAUGCGUGGUGUCUCUGUGAAACCUGGAAUAACCCGGACAAGAAAUGGAAUGGACAUCACCAUGAUCAUAUUGUGGCGGAAUGCAAGACCACUUGCUUGACUCGAUGGAGGAUUGCUCAUUUCGGCAGCAACCGUACCGAUGGCUCCUAUGUAGUAGCACCAAGCAUCAAUGCAUCAUGACUUUGGUUUCGAUCAGAUAGCAAUGAAAUACAACGUAGCCCACAGUGUUGCUAGCCUCGUAAUCUUAGAUCAUCAUCAGAUCGCACGAGCUGAUCUGAUCGAUAUUCUUGUGAUGAUAGAUGCUGUAUCUGAAUGGCCCAACCACUGUUAUCACUGACGCCUGGUCCCCAGAAACAUACUGCACGUUGAAUUAUUGUGGUCUGAAUUCUGAUGAUGAGCUACCCAGUAUGGGCCUUGGCAGUGGUAAGCCAGGAGGAACAGAUUCUGAACCCACAAGCAAUCAGACAGCCUGCUGGGUCACUGGGUCAGGUUCCAUACCAUCCAAGCAUCUAACCUAGUACCCUUUUUUCUGUUGCAGAUACGGCAAGUGCACUGUGCUUCCUGUGAUUGUCCAUCUGUCACGCCACCAACACGCGUGCGUGCAUGGGCUGCUGCAGGCCUCUAACAGUAACAGUACAGAGACGUGACUCGGUGGGGGCACCUCGGUCGUAUCGUGCCCUGUGGCUCAGAUCGACCCAACUCCCAUGCACGUCCCGUCUCAGCCGUCACUUCAUUCGAUCUCCUCGCGAUCUCUUCCGGUCUUCCCAUCCAUCGAUGCGUCCCAGAUCCAUCGAUCGAUGGAUGAACACCUCCUCGAUCGUUGCUCGUACACGGUGCUGUGCCCACUGUUCUCUUCCAUUUAGCUUGCUGUCGACCGAUGAACGGAUCAGACGAUCUCCGGUUCUGCACUAGCUAGCUGGGAUGACAGCCUACAUUAUUAGGCGCGCAUCAUUGGAAUCCAGUACGUGUCCAACACGUACGUUUUCGUCGCAUGAGCGAAAGUAAAUCGCUACAUUUCCCUGUCUGUCCAGGAUCAACGAGACAGUACUUUUUUUUUAAUUAAGAAAAUUAUCCGGUCAUGAACAUUCACAAAUUUCUCAAUGUCUAUGACUAAAAAAACAAAUUCGACCACCUAGUCCGGAGGUAUACGAGUACUUAGACUCCACGCCUCAACACGAGAAUCAAAGAAAAGUAAGAAAGCAAGCGACUAAGAAAGAAAGCUAAAAAGACUAAGCUUAAAACUUCUUCUAUGCUCUUGCUUCCACCUGGCAAUAGGCCUUGUGCAGCAACUAAUCCCUCCCAUCUGUCAUUUUCUUAGAAACUUUAGAAGUUAGGAUGAUCCUGCUCGAUGGUCACCUUGUUUUCUUGUCGUGUAGAAACUGCACUUAGUCAAUCUCUACCAUGCACAUUGGCAGUACACUAAAACCGCCAUCCCACCAAGCUGAACGGGAACCGCCAUCUCAAGGAUCCCAAAAUGGCACCUCAAGAAGAAAGUAAUGCCAAGACUCCGCCGCCGCCCGAACCUGCUUUGGUUCUUCGAUUUUCACCUGGAAAAAGUUCCUGGGGUCAAGGUCCUCACUGCAAUGCCAUCAAGGAGCACGAUGCAUCAUGGCACCGUCGUCACUAGCACCGGUCAAGACUAGUCAUGGCUUUCGUCUGAGGACCUCGACCCUGACAACCACCAAACUUUGCUGGCUGGUGCCAAAGCCGGUCGCCCGCUGUCGCCGCCCUCUAUCUGCCGCCCUCCGUCCGCCACCGCCGCCAUAGAGCCGAGCCAUGCUCACCUGUAGCCGCCACGGGCCACGUUCGGGCGGAUUCACCGCGAGCUUCCCACGGUGGCGGUCACCGGAGGUGAAGACGCCUCCCCCCCGAGCUUAGCCCAAGAGAGGUAGGCUCCACGCGGGCCGCCACCGCCGCCGCCCUCACCGCUGUGGGCUGCGCCACCGCGGAUCUGAUUCUGGCCCCCGCUAACGCCCCCCAUGGAUCCACCAGGGGAGGCCCUAAAUGGCCUGGGCGACGCCGGAUCCAAGCUUGCCGGUGCCGGAUCUGGGCACCACCAGUCCAAGGGUGACGGCCACCGCUGGCAACCACCACCGCAGCAGCAGGAAAGAAGAGGGUGGGGGAGGUUGUGGAGGGGAAGAAGGUCUUUAGUGGGGAAGUUGAUGCGCCCACCGCCGCCCUCAUCGCGGUUGGACGGACUUCCGCCAGUGAGCUCCGGCGGCAGUGAGUCGGAAGGGAAGGAGGGAGCGGCGCUAGAGGUGAGGUGGUGGCGCCGCCUGAGUCGCCUGGCGAUGUGGGGGCCGAGGGGGGUCUCUCUGAUGUGACAGUACUUGACAGCUUCAUUUGUAAUGUUGUCAGUUGUCAGCAUCGAUUUGCAUUUUUUGUUGAGGAGGUACACAUGCUAUACGCAGCUAGCAAGGCUUUGUGUAGCAGGGCCUGUUUGCAUAACUGCAUUGGCACAGGUCAACUCGAUCCAUCUGAUCCAUGCCAUCUACUAGUGGCUUGCUCCAUUAGAGAUAAGUAAUAAAAUGAUAACAUCGAUACACAGUUCACGUGUUUUGAUUAUCACCAGCUUGUGCAGACCCACCGGUUGAUGAAGUAGCUAGCUUUAUACAGUGGGAGUUUAUAAUUCAUCAAGAGGAGAAAAGUAAGGGUCUGCCUCUACAUUCGAAGAUGUGCUGCCCAACUAACAAGGGUCACCUGAUGACCUAAUUUAAAAAAUAUGUGCAUUGCAUGUGCACAAUUACUAGUUAAAGAGAAAGCUGUAAUGGGAUGCAUGCUUUGCGCCUCAAUUUGGUCUCUGUCAGAAAGGUAUGUGGUUCUGAAGCCAGCAGUUUUCCCCCCUAUAAAAAGUGUCAAGUAAUCGGAAAAGAUGGUGCUUGUAGAGUUGUAGGGCAUGCAAAAUCACUUGGGCGACACAAUAGGGCGAUUAGUCGGCAUCACUGCCGCUGAUUUGUACCCCUCCGGUGUUCAAUACUUCGAUUAUUGGGCCCUUGAAAAGAUGAUGCCGCUCGGCGGCGGUGCCUGCUGGAUGUCCACGGCAACUGGUUCGUAUCAAAUCGAGGUGGUGCCUUUUCUAGCUUGUUCAGAUUUUCUAAGAGAUGCAGUCAUGCAGUCUGGAUAAACUUGCAAGUAGAUACUGCUCCACGUACAGCAAAGCUUUUUUACAGAGGUCCCUGAAGGGUCUAGGCCUCUGAUGGUCCAAAGUUAUUACCUACAGUAUAAUCAAGAUUUAGGGGGUGUUUCCGAACUAAAAAUUUAUAUCACAUCGAAUAUUCGAUAUUAAUUAAGAGGACUAAACAUGAGCUAAUUAUAAAACUAAUUACACAGAUGGAGGAUAAUUCACGAGACGAAUCUAUUAAGCCUAAUUAAUCCAUCAUUAGCACAUGUUUACUGUAGCACCAUAUUGUCAAAUCAUGAACUAAUUAGGUUUAAUAGAUUAGUCUCGCAAAUUAGUCUCCAUCUGUGCAAUUGGUUUUAUAAUUAGUCUAUGUUUAAUACUUCUAAUUUGAUUUUAUAAUUAGUCUAUGUUUAAUACUUCUAAUUAGUAUCUAAAUAUUCGAUGUGAUAGGAAUUUUAGGAGGUUCCAAAGAACCAAACACCUAAUUUGGUGCCGUAUGGAUGCUGCACGCAGUGGUCCAUAUAUGACUGUUGACCUAACUAACAAGGCUAGCUGAAGAUUUGAACGUAUCAUUUUGAUGCGAAUGGCAUCCACAUCUGGUUUAGGUUGUUGGGCCACUGUACCUUUAGGCCUUUGUAUAUUUUUAUAAAUAAGAAGACGAUCGAAGCGAUGAUGCCACCGAGGCGUCGUGGGCUUGGUGGCAUGAUGAACUUGAUGAGUACGUGGCAUGGGUAGAGCCCAUCUUGACAUCUACCUUGAAGAAGUAGAUUCUUCGUGUCCAAAUCCUUAACACAGAGGAAAGAUGGAUGAAAUUUAAAAAAGACAUCAUUAUCGGAAGCAAAUUGAUGAACAGAUAUCAAGUUCUUUUUAGCGGCAGGAACAUGUAGGACGUUUUUAAAAGAAAAAUCACGACUAGAGGUAUGCAAAAUAGUUGUAUCAAUAUGGUUGUUGUUAAUACCUGAGCUAUUAGCAGCUUGUAUCUGCUCUAGCCAUUGUACUUCUCCUUUGUUGUAAGCUUGUCGAGGGCGGCGUUGGUAAUAUGAUCAGUAGCUCCAGAAUCGAAGUACCAGUUUAUGUCAACACCAUAAGAAGGAACAGCAGCGGAAGCCAACUUCUGAGGUCCUGAUUUCAUGGGUUUGGCUCCACUGUCUCGUGGAGCAAGAUACUUCCUAUUAAAUCUGUACCAGCAAUCAUGCACGGUAUGUCCUGUGCGCUCACAGAGCUGACAGACAGGGCCAUCAUCAGAAUCAGGAGAAGGGCGGCCAGGGCCACCAAAACCGCGACCACCAGAGGCUUGACCGCGACAACGCCCGCGACCACCAGAAGCUAGCUUAGACCGCGACCACGCCCGCGAGACGCCAUAUUGGCCGACGAGUAGAUGCGAAAUUCCUCGGUGUGCUGUUGAGCCAGGCAUGCCUCAAAUGAGAGGCGCUGAGAGUAGAGAUCGCCUAGCGACAAAGAGUCCUUGAUGGAUACGGAGGAGACAAACAGAUUAUACUCAGAAUCCAUCCCAUUGACGAUGUAUCCAAUGAGUUCAUCAUCUUCAAUUCUCUUGCCAGCGGCUGCCAUCUCGUCAGCAAGUCCCUUAAUCUUGCUGUAAUAUGUUGAUGAGAUAAUCUCCCUUCUUCGCACAUGACAGUUGAGAGCGGAGCUGAAGCUUAGAUCAAGAUUGCGACGAGAUCAUCUCAGUAAUCGCCGUCCAUAAGGAGGCAGUAUGUUCAUGAGAAGAAACUUGUACCAGGACUUCCCUGGUCAUGGAGGACAAGAGGUACGAAAGAAGCUGUUGUUGCAUAAUCCAAGUCACGUAGGGCGGAUUUUCAACUUCUUCCACGACAUUGUCAGCUUUCUCAACAUGAAGAAUCGCCGGUGGUUGAGAUGACGAGCCUCUAGGAUGCCGAUGAGGCGUGGGUCACGAAUAGCAGGCAUGACUUGUGCUCGCCACACAAGAAAGUUAUCCCUUAUAAGUUCUCCAAAAUCUGGAUGCUGAACAUUGCCGAUGAAGCCGCCGAGGAGCUUGUCGACACCGUGAACGUCGACGAAAAAAAAGAUUGCUAUACGCAACUAAAUAUUUCUUUGGAGAAGAAGACUCUUAUACCAUAUGGAAUAUUAUAGAACGGCUUACCCUUGAGGGCGCCUGUCAUGUUCAUUACAUAGGACGGAAGAGGUCCUAUCCUGGAUGAACUACAAGAGUUCUCCGUAUAGGAGUAUUACAAGCAUAGGACUCAUGGUCCAGAUAGAAUCCUAGUACAUGUAUGUCUACGAUAUAUACUCUUGUUUAAAUGAUAUUAUUGCCCUUAGCUAUAGCUUGCACGCUGUGUCGACAUGAUCGGAGGGCAACCGAAGUUUGUAAUGAGUGUCUACAACCGAAGGACAUGUGUGUCAACUUGCAAGUGAGUGUACGGUUCAGUCAGGCUCUAUUAAGGUUCACUACAUCACACUGUCACAGGCUUAAUUACCGUCCGAACAAAUGUUGACAGUCGUCGAAACUAGUAAGUAACUUGCAAUUAGCAGGUCUCUUCUCGAACUAAUGCAGCUCAUGUGUGAACAGUGUAUGCAUGUCCUACUUCUACACGCGCUAGCUAGUACUGUGUAGCACAGUAGCAGCUCUGCUUUUAUCUUCCUUUUCCCUGCAAAAGGGGUGGACCUAGGAGCACACGUGCCUACUUGUAGGUAGCUGUUGUUGUGUUCACGUGCUGACAAGGAUCAAAAUAAAAGUGGAUAGUCAAAGUCAAACCAUAUCCCAACAGUACCGCUGGCCUAGCCUAGUCCGAGAGAUUCCAUGUUUGGUGUGGGGCAGACAGCAGGACCGGUAGGCCCUCACUGACUUAUUGCACAGAAACUCCAGCUGUAGCUAAAACAUCUGUAGUUGUAUAUUCUUUGAUGGAGCCGUGGCUAACACGGCUAUGGCUCCAGCUUAUUCGAUGAAGAAAUUUUUUUUCCUUCAGUUUGUCUGAUUAGAAAAAUAUUUUGUAAAACAACUUCUCCUAAAUGUGGAAAAGGAUGGAAUGUCUAUAAUACCCUUAUCUUUUUUUGUUUUCUUUUUCUUUUUCUCUUUUCUUCCUAUUUUCCCCUAUGUCUUUCUUUCCCCUUCUCUCCCUUUCUUAUCCACUCCUACCUUCUCCUUCUCCCCGUCGCCCAACUCUCUGCUCCUGCGCUCGCCGUUGCCCUCCGCUUGCUCCCCAGCCUCUCCGGCCCUCGCAGUGCUGCCCCGCUCUCCGACUCCACUGCGCCUGCGCCAUGCUAGCCAGCCUCCGAUCUCACCUCCUCCUCGCACGCGGCAUUCUCUGAGCCCACCUCCUUCCCCGCGCCGCCGGCACCUUUCGACCAAGCCUCCUUCCCCGUGCCGCCGAUGACUUCCGCCACGCCGUCUCCCCACGCCGCUGGCACCCUCCGGCACCACCAUGGAGGGGGCAAAUCAGGAACUUUGGUCCCACUGAUGAGAUGGAGCUGCGGGGACCUAGUUUCUUUGGCUUCGGUUCCAUCGAUUUGCUCAAGAGAGCCGGUGGCUCCCAUGGCGGAGCUGUUUUGCUCACGCCCCUUUGGUAUAGGGCUUCAAAGCUAGUGGUGAAGCCGGUUGGGAAGCCCCACCACUACUAGAAACCCCCCUAGCUACGCUAUAGUAGUAACGCACGCUAAAAGCGUCUCUACGUCAGCAUGUAAAGAUGUUUUUUAACACAAUUUCAAAAACAUGUCAGAGUGUUACGAUAUUAGACACGCUUAGAGUGUUAUUAGUCUUAUUAAGACAUUUUUAACACGCUAUUGAAGUCGGCUCAAAAUGACACGGAGUUAGACACGCUUUAAAGCAUCAUUAUCCACUAGACACAUUGUAAAACGUAUCAAACAAUUAUCUAUAGCCAGAUAAAGAUGCUUUUUGACUCGAUUAGAAAAACGUAUCGAAUUGAUACAAAGUUUGACAUAGACAGGUCGUAAAGCAUAUCAAAUAACCAUCAAUAGGCAUGUAAAGAUGAAUUUUGAUGCGAAAUGGAAAAUGACACUUAUUCAGAACAAGGAACCUAACAUUUGUAAUCAUUGGAGGAUGAAGAAACAAUAUAUUGGAAUUGUGAAAAAAAUACAACUAACGUCUAACUAAAUUUGUGUAACGUUGGCAAGAUGAAACACUCGAUUUUAAUUGGUAUUGCAGGCUAAAAAAUAUAUUAAAAUUAGCUGUGUACAACAGAAUUUUUUUUAAAUAUGAAUAAAAAAUGAUGCCUCCCAAAAUCGAACCCUGGUUGAUGGUUACAAGGACCUACAACCAUACCAUUGAGCUAGUAGAGAAUGUUCGAUGGGUCUCUAAAUACAACCGUAUUUUAUUGCACAUAAUCCUCCCAAUAAGUACAUGGCAUCCAGGCACGCACAGGUCAAAACGGCAAUCCUUCUCAACUCGGCAAAACACAUCUGUGUGCCAGGCAGCUGCCGCUGCCGCUGGGGGGCAUGCUGGAGGGUAGCAGCACGGCAACGACGUUGAGGUCCAGGUUCACCUUCCCACAUCCCUCUCCCUUUGUCGGGUUCAACUCCAUUGCGGGGCAUGGUGAAUCUUGAAUCUGAACAAAGCUAGCUCCACCCCUGUUUUUCUAUUUGAUAAUCAAAAUUAUAUCUUGCUCCAAUAAGCCCUGCAAUGAUACUGCAAUUUUUAUUAUUGUACAUCUAAUGCAUCAUUAUCCCCAUCCACUCUCUCGAAUUCUAAGCUACAAUGUUCAGUAAUAUAUAUGUCGCCUCAAGGAAUGAUUGGAAGCAAUCAGAGUAUAGAGCAGCAGCUGCCUCCUUUUCUGGCAAAAUUGAAUUGGUUUUUAAAACAAUCAUUUGUUGCAUAUGCAGGGUUCUUCUUUUUGCCUAGCUUGCAGAAUCCUACAAUUAUUUUGCAAAUUGCUUUGGAAUAAAUAAUUUUGGAAUUUGCUAAGUUUUAUUAGUAACAUUUAAUUGAGUUUAUUCGGUAGAAUAAAUUUGUGUUUGGCAGUAAUUCACCAAUCUAUACUGAUUAAGGAAUCUGUUUUCAUUUUAUUUUUGGAAUUAACCAUCACCUAAUGUUCAUCUUUGUCACAACUAUGUACUACAAAUUAAACCCGAUUUGUUUUAUUUAAAUUUUAUAGCUCCUUACAUAGGGUGAUGGAUUGAAGUUGGAUGAAAAAAGUAAGACAGGAGACUACAUACGAAGAUGGUGUUGAAAUUUUUUUGGCUUUUUGCUUACCGGGACCUUCCACAUGAUAGUGAGAUAUUGUUUCCAUGUAAAAAGUGCAAGAAUAGAAUAAACCAUUGUCGUGAUGAAGUUAGGACACAUCUGAGGUGUGACGGUAUUCUUCAAGGUUAUACUAUCUGGGUUCAUCAUGGUGAGAAUUAUGACAAACCAUCAGUUGCAUUUGUUAAUGUGCCAACACAACAUUGCCUUCUUUGGGUAUAGUACAAGGUCGCCAGGAUGGAGAAUCGGAUAGCAUGGAAGAACUGCUACAUGCUGCAUUUGGUAGGGCUGCAGGCUUGCCUCAAGGUGAAGCAGAUGAUUUUCAGUCAGGAUUUGCAGAUAUGGAACAUAAUGCCCCUAGGAUAUUGUGAAUCUAGCUCAAGAUGAUGAUUCGGGGAGGGAUCAGAAUAUAUAUGCAAGGGUCUUGAAGGAUGCACAUGUAAGGUUAUACCCUAGUUGUAAAUACUCAAGGCUGUCAUUUUUGGUCCACUUAUAUCACUUGAAGUGCUUAAAUGGUUGGUCACAAGAAUCGUUUACAGCACUACUGGGUCUACUAUUUGUUGCGCUACCUCCUGAAGCAAAUCUACCUAAGACAUUAUGAAGCGAAGAAAAUCAUCCGUGGAUUAGGUCUUGAUUAUGUGAAAAUCCAUGCUUUCCCCAAAGAUUGCGUGCUAUUUCGAGGUGAACAUGCCAAAAAGGAUGUUUGUCGUGUGUGCAAGAGCUCUUGUUGGAAAGUUGUUAAGGAGAAUGCCUCAUCAGCUAAACCUAAGGGGAAAAGAAAACCAGCAAAAGUGUUGUGGUAUUUUCGAUUGAUACCUAGGAUCCAAAGGUUAUUUUCAACUACCAAAACUUCAGAUGAUUUACAAUGGCAUGAGGAGGCCCGUACGAAAGAUGGAAAACUACGACAUCCAUAAGAUGGUGAAGCUUGGAAAGACUUUAAUGAUAGGCAUCAUGAAUUUGCAGAAGAUGCUCGUAAUGUACGCCUUGGUCUUGCAUGUGAUGGAUUUAACCCCUUUGGGAAUAAGAAUUUAAAGUGCAGCACAUGGCCAGUAAUGCUCGUUCCUUACAACCUACCACCUUGGAUCUACAUGAAGCAAACAGCUUUAAUGUUGUCAAUGAUCAUCCCUGGACCAGAUUCUCCAUGUAAUGAUGUGGAUGUAUAUUUGCAGCCCUUGAUCGAUGAGCUUUUACUAUUGUGGGAUGGAGUUGAAACAUUUGAUGCCUCUUUGAAAAAGGAAUUCCAUCUCCGAGCUGCACUAUUGUGGACUAUAAAUGAUUUUCCAGCAUUAACUUACCUAUAUGGAUGGAGCAUAGGUGGUACAUAUGCAUGUCCUUCUUGUGGUCCAACGAUAAAAUCAUUUUGCCUGAAGAAUGUUAAAAAGUCGUACUAUAUGGGUCAUCAUCGAUGGCUGCCAGGAAAUCACAGAUCCCGAAGGCAAAGGAUGCAGUUUGAUGGCUCGAUAGAGACUAAACUUGCACCUAAAACAAUGAGUGGCACUACUAUUCUUAAAAUGUUAGAAGGGAAAGAGUUUGUGCUAGGAAAAAAGGUGCGCACAACAAAGAAGGACAACAAGAAAGGUAAGAAUAAGGAAGUGGCGGCUGAAAGUGCUAAGAAACGCAAGCGUAAAACAAAAGGACAAAAUAAGAAGUCAGAUGGGAGUGGUGCUAAUGAGAAGAAUCCUAAAGAUUGGUUGAAAAAGAGGUCAAUUUUCUUUAAGCUACCACAUUGGGAACACAAUAGAUUAAGACACAAUCUAGACAUAAUGCACUUAGAGAAAAAUGUGAGUGACAACUUUAUCUCGACUUUGUUGGCUAUUUGUCAUAAAAUGAAGGAUGACCUUAAUGCAAGACUAGAUUUAGUUGAACUUGGAAGUUGAGAGGACCUUCAUCUUGUUGUAGAUAAUGAAGGAAAGCAGUCGCUUCCUGAUGCACCUUUUACCAUGUCUAGAGAGAAAAAGAAGAUCCUUUGCUCAAUAAACCUUAGGACCCCUGAUGGAUAUGCAUCAAACAUAUCUAGGUGUGUGAAUAUGAAAGACUUUACAUUGAGUGGACUAAACAUGACAAUCAUGUUUUACUACAUGACAUUCUUCCAGUGGCGCUCCGAUCCUGUUACCCUAGCAAAGAUGUCAUGAGGACAGUUGUUGAAUUAUCUAAUUUCUUCAAGAUGCUAUGCUCCAAGGUGAUAGAUGUGGAUGAGUUGGUAAAGCUUCAAGAGAGUAUUGUGAUGACACUAUGUGAUAUGGAGAGAACUUUCUUGCCAUCAUUCUUUACUGUAAGCGUGCAUUUGAUGGUGCAUUUGGUAGAAGAAGUUAAACUUGGUGGCCCUGUUCAGUACCGGUGGAUGUAUCCCAUGGAGAGGGUAUGCAACUACAUUUAAUUUCCACUGUCAUUGUAAAUAAUUCUUACAACUUACAUAUGUCCAUAAUUGCAUAUAGAUUUUUUUGUUUGACUAAAGGCACUUGUGAAGAAUAGUGCUCACCCAGAAGGAUCAAUUGCUGAAGGAUAUUGCAUGGAGGAGUGCCUGGAUUGUAGUUUGAGAUUUUUAGAAGGAACUACACAUUUUACUAGGCCAUUUAGAAAUCCUAAACCUUUUGAUGAAAAAAAAGGCAUGUACUUGUUUGAUAGUGCUGGUGAACCAAUUGGAAAGUGUACCGGUGUCAACCUUGAUAAGCAUCUUCUUGUUCAGGCACAUCGAUACGUCUUGCGACAUUGCGAUAAACUUGAGGAUUUACGCAGGUUUGUUCAUAUAGUGCUCCCUGUUAUGUUUAUUUUUAUAGUAACUUGAUGACAUGACACUGAUCCGAUUGUUGUAGAGAAUUCUUGGAAAAGGAGAAAAGCAAAAUGGGUCCAUCAACUAAUUUGACACCUUCCAUUGAGAAGUUGACCAAUGAACACUUACCUGAUUGGUUGGAGCAAAAGGAGUGCAAAUCUUAAAUUGAUGCAUUUUAGGCAUACCAUUAAAAGAUGGAAUGGAUAUAAUAUAAUUUCUUAUACAAACAGGUUAUCCUAGGGGAUGGAACAAGCAUCACGGCAAAGGUUAGAGCAUUGGCUGCAAAACCUAGCAGAUGUGGUGUGAGAUGCAGUGGUUACAAUAUUAAUGGUUUUAGGUUCCAUACUAUGAGCCAUGAGGCUUCAUGCUUGACACAAAAUAGUGGCAUAGUGAACAUCGCACAUGAUGGUGUGAAUUAUUAUGGCAAAUUAUCAGAUAUAAUUGAAUUGUCAUGCAAAGUACAAGGUAGUGCUUUUCAAAGGUGAAUGGUAUGAUGUUCAUCAUCAAGCUGAGUUAUGACAAGAUGAGUUUGGAUUCACCCUUGUGAUUUUUUCUUGAAAGAUACACACAGGACAAAAAUUAGAGCAUGAUCCUUUUGUCUUCUCUUCACAAGUGCAGUAAGUCUUUUAUGUCCAAGAUCCAAAAGCUGAAGCAUGGCACAACGUGGUGAGAGUUAUGAUCAUUUUGACAUGGGUGCUGAAUUGUUGGUAGAUGAAACAGAUUAGAACAAUAUAGUGGACAUCCUACAUAGUUCAACAAUAGGACUUGCUCCAGCUUCUGUUGUUCUAAUUGAACUUGCAUUUUGUAUCUCUAAAUUAUCUACAACUUUUUUAAUGGAACUAAGUGAAGCGAAAACCCUGAUCAUCUUGGUGAUUGAAUGUUGCACCCCUUCGGUGAUUUUUGUGUCUCUUGUUGCAUCACAGAUCUCUAUUGUUGUAUCCCUUUGGAAUUGUUGCAUUGGAGGUCUGGAGCAUCUCUGUAAUUUGUACGAUGUAAAUUUGGCUAACAUUUCACAAUGACAAUAAAUAUACUCAAACGUAUACUUGGCAUUUAACAUAUUCCAUAGCACACAUGCAUCCAUAUCCCACUUAACAUUCUAUCCAAAAGGCCCAUGCACAUGGCCAGUCCAAAAGACCAUGACAGAUAGGAUGGCACUAGAGGUUCCAGCAUGGAUUAUCUAAUUUAUUUACAGACCAAACAAAACACUUUGUCAAAACGAUUAGAAUUUCUAUAACUACCGAAAUCACAUGUUAGCUCAAUGGUUUGUCCGGUGCUUUGGAACUUGUAGCCUGCGGUUCGAUUCAGUGAUAUACAAAAUUUUGACAUUUUUUUAUUUUCCUAAUUUUUUGACAGUUUUUUAUUCCUAAUUUUUUGGCUCGAAUUUUGACAUUUUUUUAUUUUCCUAAUUUUUUGACAAUUUUUUAUUCCUAAUUUUUUGCCGAGCCAGGUUUAUACAGUUACAAUAUAUAUUUUCUUAAGUUCUAACACAAUGUGCAAAAGUGAAUGAUAUAGGUUUCAAUCACAAAUAAAAAGUUAAGUGUAUCAUUAGCUUGGUACAUGACAAUCUUAUAUGGUUUCAUCCCGCAACGGUUAUAAAUAUUAGGUGAUAUAAACUAUAAUAUAAAGGUUUGUUAUAAACAUUAGGUGAUAUAAAAUAUAUAAAGGCCUAUAUGGUUUCAUCCCGCAAUGGUUAUAAACAUUAGGUGAUAUAAAAUAUAAAGGUCUAUAUGGUUUCAUCCCACAAUGGUGAUAAGAUUUCAUCAUCUAAAGAAAAGCAUAUAUAAAUGACAAUCAAUCGAGUUUCCAUUUCUCUGUGGUGUACUCUUCUUCUCAAAUAGUUUGCCAAUGCUAAUAUGAAGUCCUAUUCUUCCAAAUGAGUUUGAAUACGACAAUCUCUUUAUGUUGGCCAUUCAUUUUCUUCAUUGUUGAAAAGUUAUGAGUACUCAAUAACUUAUUAAUUAUCCAUUUUUUUUAAAUAUAUGUCAAUUAUAUUUUUACAAAAUUUCCAAAGCUUGCAAAUGAAAUGUCAUAAUAUAUGUACCAAUGAUCAGUGAUUAUUUAAAUUAGAAAGAGAUUACAUCUAAAUAGAAAUUUUGUUGUCCAACUUGCCGCCUAAAACAAUUCACUUGGCGCUUAAUAGCCCGCACAUCCUGGGAUUAGAGAACAAAUCGCAUCCCUUAACCUCCCCACCUCCGCAUUAACCUCCCGGUCUCCUCACCUCCCUCCUGAAUCUCGCUAGGCAGUCCUCCUCCACCGGUUCUAGCCGCCUUGCCCUCGCUGCAAAUCCAAUGCCCCCAGCCUCCUGUCGCUGUCGUCAACCUUCUAAAACUUGUGAGCAUAUCUUCACCUUCCUCCCGUCGCUGCCGUCAGCCUUCUGAAACCAUGGGUCACGAUUCAACCAUCGGCAUUCACUUGGUCAUGCGGUCGGCAGGGUGCGAGGCGUAGUGGCAAAGGAUCCCAGGACGUCCAGAUAACCUACAACAACAAGGGAGACCAGGACGUCCAGAUCACUUGCAGCAACAACAACGCCAGGACGUCCAGAUCACCUGCAGCGGCUAGGAGCCAGGACGUCGCAAGGACCAACUAUCAGGUACUUAUUAGAUCGAAUUUGUUUUUCCUCCUACAUGCAACCACUUGAUUAGUUUGGUAAUUAGGGCUAAUCUCUUCGGUAGGAUGUGCUGAUUCCUGAGGGGUUGGCACUUACUUUACGGCCUUGUAGAUUCCAUCUAAUCAAGUUGAGUAAUAGAUGGCUUUAGAUAAUUUCAGUUUCUUUCCAUGCAGUUCUUAAACACUGAAUUUGGUAGAACAAUUUAGGAGAUGUCUGAUUGGAUAUUUUUCCUUGGAGUAUUCAGUUUCAAAUGAAUGCUAGUACUAGUUAGGUCAUGUUUCCUACUUUGAUGUAAUUUAGUAGUUUAGGCUUUGACAUCUGAAAUCUGAAACAAAAUUAACAUUAAAAUGAAUCAGGAUUACAGAUCUUGUUGUUUGACUAGAUGAAUUGGGUAAGACAGGAUGCGCUGUGGUCGCUAUUUAGAGUCUGAUGUCCCAAAUUAUUAGUAGGAACUGAUUAUUUCAUACCUGAUAAUUGAAUUAUAAAAUUCCUAUUUUCUUACUGUAUUGCUGCCAAUUUGUGCGGCUGCCUUUUGCCUUGUGAGAGAUAAUUCACCAACCUACAUACUCUCUAAUGCUCUAAAAUCUGAAUGACUGAAUCUGAAAUUAAAUUAAUGUGUGCGCGCACUUUCAGAUUACGCUAAACUAUAAGUGCUGAUCUUGGUACCCAUGUAUAUGCAGAAAAAAUCAUGGUAAGACCACUUCAAAGGUUAAGGAACUUGAACCUUGAAGAAGUAGAGGAUCCAGAACCUAUUGAGAAUGGGCAGGAUAACUUAGAGAGAAUGAGAAUGGGGAUGACAACUUAGCAGAGAAUGAGAACGAUGAUGACUUACAGGGUCCUCCUGAUGUUGAUAGCUUAUUAGCCCGCCUGCCACGCCACCAUCCACGAACCCCCAUUAAGAUAAUAUGUAAGUUUCCUAAUUUUUUCCUUGCAUAUCCAAAUGCAGUAUCAAAUCAAUCUAUUUCAUAUAUGUAGAGCCAAAUGGAGAGGUCAGAUAAGUUUUAGGGGAUUUCAGAGUUUCAAAUCUAGUGGAUUAGAAGGAGGAAAGGUAAUUGUAGGGAUCGAUGAAAAUGGUGUUCCAAAUGAAAAGUCAGCCUCCAUUCUUGGUCAGUACCUUGGACAGACAACAAAAAAACCAUCAUUAGCUCCUUUACACAUUGAAAGAUGGGACAAUCCUUUGUUCAAUACUCACAAGCAACAAAUAAUCAAGGAUGUGGUGGUAAAAUUAAUCUUACCAGUUCAAGCAAGUACCUCAAUUUUCAUCCAUCUAGUAACAUUUACCUCUACUCUUUAUAGAAACACUGGGUGCUAAGAACUGUUAGCAAUAGGUGGUGAUCCUACAAAUCAAAGUUGAAGAAAUAAUAUUUUAAUCGUGAAGAGAGAUCUCUAGAUGAAAUCAUAAACUAGAAACCAAACAAUGUGAAUGAACUUCAAUGGAAAGCUCUUGUUGGAUUUUGGUGUCGAGAACCACACAAGGUGCCAUCCUUUUACGUAACAUUUAUAUCCAAUUUAAAAGCAAUGAGUGUGACAAACUCUAGAAUCGCAAAAGAACAGAAGAAUACACACACGUCAGGAAGAAAAAGCCAUGCUAGGCUGAAAAAAAGAUGGUCAAAUAUAUUCAUCCAAUGUUAUUUAUUAUAUUCACUAUCAUCUAAUUCAGAUCUGUAAUGAGCCUCAAGUUACUCUGUUGUGCAGGAAGAUAACCAGAAAAGGAAGGUUCAUAGGCUAGAAUUAUGGGAGGCUGCUCAUAAGAAAAAGAAUGGAAGAUACAUUACCCACAAAGUGGAUGCAAUAAUGGUACCUUUUCUGAUCCUAAGCAUUUAUGUUCGAUUUGAAAUUCUAUUUAUCAUUCUGUGACCUUCCACUAUUUUUAUUUCUAUAGAAUGCGUCAUAUGAGGAAUUAGAAAAAAAGGCAACUAAACAACAAUGGUAAUCUUUUAGCUCAAGAUUUUAAUGAGGUGUUCAGUGAGAUAGUUGCUAAGGAGUUAAAAGCACGUGGGUACUAUGAUGAUAACUACUGGAGUGAAGUUUUAGUGUCUCAAGGUGUAACUUUUGUCACUCAAACUGGGGAAGAAAGAAGGUACCAAGAGAAAGUAAAUGCAAUGGAGAAUAAGGUGCAACACAUGGGUGGUUUCAUGAAGCACUGGCUUGGUUUCAUGUUAAAAAAGUUUCCUGAAGAGGAUUUCAUAAAGUAAGCAUCUAUUCGACUUGCCAUAUAUAUUUUUACCUUCUGCCUGGUAGUGUUGGUGACUUGUCUGUUAGUGACCAUGUUUUGUUAGGCUACAUGCUGUUCAGAACUUGUUUGCUCCCUCAUUUGUUGUAUUGCACAUGUACAUAUCUACUCUACUUUUAGCCUCAAGUCAUGCUAUGCUUGUAUUCUACUGUACUUAUCUCCCUACUAGGAUCUAAAAGAAUAAAUGAAUAGAGAAAUCUCAUACCUCAAAACAAAGAAAAAAA